This 425-nucleotide ribosomal RNA is filed under the name uncultured bacterium. Its description in RNAcentral is "partial 16S ribosomal RNA". It matches the Rfam family "Bacterial small subunit ribosomal RNA", at positions 354 to 796 of the family's 1533-position model. The record is from RNAcentral.
GUGGGGAAUCUUGCGCAAUGGGCGAAAGCCUGACGCAGCCAUGCCGCGUGAAUGAUGAAGGUCUUAGGAUUGUAAAAUUCUUUCACCGGGGACGAUAAUGACGGUACCCGGAGAAGAAGCACCGGCUAAACUCGUGCCAGCAGCGGCGGUAAUACGAGUGGUGCAAGCGUUAUCCGGAAUCAUUGGGUUUAAAGGGUCCGCAGGCGGGCUAUCAAGUCAGAGGUGAAAUCCCACAGCUUAACUGUGGAACUGCCUUUGAAACUGAUGGUCUUGAAUUAAGUGGGCGUUGGCGGAAGAUGACAUGUAGCGGUGAAAUGCAUAGAUAUGUCAUGGAACACCGAAAGCGAAGGCAGCUAACGAUACUUAUAUUGACGCUCAUGGACGAAAGCGUGGGUAGCGAACAGGAUUAGAUACCCGGGUAGUCC